RNAcentral lists this long non-coding RNA (227 nucleotides) under Jatropha curcas. RNAcentral's name for it is "long non-coding RNA (JCUR_LNC000742)". Lineage: Eukaryota; Viridiplantae; Streptophyta; Magnoliopsida; Malpighiales; Euphorbiaceae. The record is from RNAcentral.
UAAGAUUAGUGGAUGUGUUAACAAGACGAUCUAAGAGUAUAUCUUAACUAUACUUGACGGCUAACUUAAGUGUGAUAAUCUGGUGAGUUAUUAAUUUAAAAUUUGCUCAUGGAAUUAUUGAGAUAUCAAUUAGGAUGAGAGCCAUUAAUAUAUGAUUUAGAGUCAAUGUAAAGCUAUUCUGAAUUUCUUAGCAAUUGGUGGAAAUUAUGAUUGAAUGAAUAAAAUUG